AAUCAAAAGAUACAGAGUUCACCUAGAGUUUUUAUCGGCAUUUAGUGUUUCUUGACUGAAAUUACCUUAUAUUAGUAAAAAAAAAAAAAAAAAAAAAGAAAGAAAGAGAAGAAAAUAAAAGAAAUCCAAAUUUGCGUCAGGUCUUCUAGUGGCAAAUCAAAGCAAGUGUUGAACAAUACAGGUCAGGAAGAAAUAAAACAAAAAAUCUGCAAAACAAAAACAGUAUCCCUUUGCCCAAAUAAUUCAGAUUAACAUACACCAGCAUCGCUGGGCGAUUACUCUGUUCCAGGCAGCCGCAGGUGGAUCUUCAUACAAGGCCAGAUUUCUACCACAGUUCAGUCUCAGAGUUUAACACUUCUCUAACAGCCACGUAGAACAGACAUUCUUCAGCUAGGAGUUUGAAGGCUCCCCAGUCGAGCCUCACAAUUGCCCACCCAAUCCUUUCUACCGCUGGGAUGCCCAUGCACCAGCAGUUACCAAGAAAGAAGACACAAACUAUAGCUGCAACACUGAGGGAUCCAGGGAAGGUGAGACCUUUGACAUGGAAGCUAGAGCUGAGUUGGCCAAAGAAACCUGGGGAGAAGGACCACGAAGCCCCAGGUGGGUAGCACCACGUAAGUGGAAAUCCACCACCACAUGUGCCACUACACACAGCUCAUAGAUUCCUUUUGUUUUCUUUUUCAGUGGACACUGAGUAAAUUUAUAUUUUCUUGUACAG
This 718-nucleotide long non-coding RNA is filed under the name Macaca mulatta (Rhesus monkey). RNAcentral's name for it is "lncRNA (ENSMMUG00000054970.1)". The record is from RNAcentral. Lineage: Eukaryota; Metazoa; Chordata; Mammalia; Primates; Cercopithecidae.